Molecule: ribosomal RNA, 820 nt
Filed under: Nectriaceae sp.
Lineage: Eukaryota; Fungi; Ascomycota; Sordariomycetes; Hypocreales; Nectriaceae
Description: partial large subunit ribosomal RNA
Rfam family: Eukaryotic large subunit ribosomal RNA
Source: RNAcentral
CAGGGAUUGCCCUAGUAACGGCGAGUGAAGCGGCAACAGCUCAAAUUUGAAAUCUGGCCUUCGGGUCCGAGUUGUAAUUUGUAGAGGAUGCUUUUGGUGAGGUGCCUUCCGAGUUCCCUGGAACGGGACGCCAUAGAGGGUGAGAGCCCCGUCUGGUUGGACACCGAUCCUCUGUAAAGCUCCUUCGACGAGUCGAGUAGUUUGGGAAUGCUGCUCUAAAUGGGAGGUAUAUGUCUUCUAAAGCUAAAUAUUGGCCAGAGACCGAUAGCGCACAAGUAGAGUGAUCGAAAGAUGAAAAGCACUUUGAAAAGAGAGUUAAAAAGUACGUGAAAUUGUUGAAAGGGAAGCGCUCAUGACCAGACUUGGGCUUGGUUGAUCAUCCAGGGUUCUCCCUGGUGCACUCUUCCAGUUCAGGCCAGCAUCAGUUCGCUGUGGGGGAUAAAGGCUUUGGGAAUGUGGCUCCCUCGGGAGUGUUAUAGCCCAUUGUGUAAUACCCUGUGGUGGACUGAGGUUCGCGCAUUCGCAAGGAUGCUGGCGUAAUGGUCAUCAGCGACCCGUCUUGAAACACGGACCAAGGAGUCGUCUUCGUAUGCGAGUGUUCGGGUGUUAAACCCCUACGCGUAAUGAAAGUGAACGCAGGUGAGAGCUUCGGCGCAUCAUCGACCGAUCCUGAUGUUCUCGGAUGGAUUUGAGUAAGAGCAUACGGGGCCGGACCCGAAAGAAGGUGAACUAUGCCUGUAUAGGGUGAAGCCAGAGGAAACUCUGGUGGAGGCUCGCAGCGGUUCUGACGUGCAAAUCGAUCGUCAAAUAUGGGCAUGGG